Molecule: ribosomal RNA, 460 nt
Filed under: uncultured bacterium
Lineage: Bacteria
Description: partial 16S ribosomal RNA
Rfam family: Bacterial small subunit ribosomal RNA
Source: RNAcentral
CCUACGGGAGGCAGCAGUGAGGAAUAUUGGUCAAUGGACGCAAGUCUGAACCAGCCAUGCCGCGUGCAGGAAGACGGCUCUAUGAGUUGUAAACUGCUUUUGUACGAGGGUAAACACAGAUACGCGUAUCUGUCUGAGAGUAUCGUACGAAUAAGGAUCGGCUAACUCCGUGCCAGCAGCCGCGGUAAUACGGAGGAUGCAAGCGUUAUCCGGAUUUAUUGGGUUUAAAGGGUGCGUAGGCGGUCGGAUAAGUUAGAGGUGAAAUCCCGGGGCUCAACUUCGGAAUUGCCUCUGAUACUGGUCGUCUAGAGAGUAGUUGAGGUAGGCGGAAUGUGUGGUGUAGCGGUGAAAUGCUUAGAGAUCAUACAGAACACCGAUUGCGAAGGCAGCUUACCAGGCUACUUCUGACGUUGAGGCACGAAAGCGUGGGGAGCAAACAGGAUUAGAUACCCCUGUAGUC